RNAcentral lists this ribosomal RNA (253 nucleotides) under uncultured bacterium. Its description in RNAcentral is "partial 16S ribosomal RNA". It matches the Rfam family "Bacterial small subunit ribosomal RNA", at positions 524 to 776 of the family's 1533-position model. The record is from RNAcentral.
UACGAAGGGGGCUAGCGUUGUUCGGAUUUACUGGGCGUAAAGCGCACGUAGGCGGAUCGUUAAGUCGGGGGUGAAAUCCUGGAGCUCAACUCCAGAACUGCCUUCGAUACUGGCGAUCUUGAGUCCGGAAGAGGUGAGUGGAACUCCUAGUGUAGAGGUGGAAUUCGUAGAUAUUAGGAAGAACACCAGUGGCGAAGGCGGCUCACUAAUCCGGUACUGACGCUGAGGUGCGAAAGCGUGGGGAGCAAACAGG